ACCGGUGAUCCAGCCAGCGAUCCUCGAGAGGAAGGGAUUAACCCUUCUUGACGAGACCAGUGAGUUAACCCUGCCCGGUUAACCAUUGUUUCAUCACACGGUUUCCUGUUGGUAAGGAGGGAGGGGCCAAAAUAAGGGAAUUGGGGGAUUUAAAUCUUCUUGAGGGGAGGUUGGAGAUAGAAGCACUUAAGUAUGUUGAAGGUUUAAGUGAGGCCAAUAGUGCCAAUCUCAUAUGCAAAAAAAAAUCUAUCGAUUUUGUUGUUAGACUGGUUAGACAGUAGUAUCUUCAACAUAGAAGAAAGUACACCAGAAAUGUUUCCAUACAUGGAAGAGGUUCUUGAGGGAUUAGAGCCAAAUCCAUCUUUAGAGAUAUUGAAAAUGCGUAAUUACAUGGGAAAGACCAUUUCUCCAAGUUGGAUGGAAAAUUUAAGGAAUUUGGUUGAAAUUGUUUUCUAUGGGUGUAAGAACUGUGAGCAUAUUCCACCACUUGGGAGACUCCCCAGUCUUAGGGUUCUUGAGUUGUGGCACAUGGAUUCUUUGAAGUAUUUUCUGAUGAUGAUAUAAACAUGUCAAUAGAUAACACCGAUAGGUUUAUUUGUUUACAAAGAUUACAUAUCAGCUGGUGUAGGGAAUUAAUUGCCUUACCAGAUAAUCUUCCAAAUCUGAAGGAUUUAAAAUUAGAAAGGUGUGAGAAAUUAAUUUCUUUACCGCGUAAUCUUCCAAGCAUCAGAAGAAAUAUGAAAUUUCAAGAUUGUGAUGGAUUACUUUCUCUACCGGAUGAGAUUCAGAGUUUCAAGGAUCUAAACAAACUUGCGAUAAGAAGCUGUAAACAUCUAAAUAAAAAGGUAUAACAAAAACAUGGGUGAAGAUUGGCAUAAAGUUUCUCACAUUCCCGAUCUAAGUAUUAAUGCUCCAUCCUUUUGGUGGUGAAGAGAUUGACAAAUGAUGGCUGGUGACUUAACUUUGGCACUCUAAACACAAGGUGUCAUGAAAUCCAAGUGUGGUUCAAGAUUUGUAAAAGAGGGAGAUGUGCGAUGUUUUACUGCUUAUUAUGUUCAUUUUUAGGCUUUUUGCGUCAUGGGAUUUCAUGUAGUUGUGUAAACGAAUCGACUAUUGAACCAUUUAGACAAUAAUUUGGAUAUCGUUGUUUAUUUUUGUAAUAUUGGAUAGUAUUUAAUUGUGUUAUGAAAUGUUGACUUUAAA
RNA transcript from Helianthus annuus (common sunflower), 1203 nucleotides. It is a transcript of the gene named putative disease resistance protein RGA1, with no coding region annotated. The transcript is spliced from 3 exons. NCBI's taxonomy places the organism in Eukaryota, Viridiplantae, Streptophyta, Magnoliopsida, Asterales, Asteraceae. The record is from RefSeq and is a predicted model, not a curated record.